GGGGGUAUAGCUCAGAUGGAUAGAGCAACGGCCUUCUAAGCCGUAGGUCUCAGGUUCGAACCCUGAUACCCUCACCA
RNAcentral lists this transfer RNA (77 nucleotides) under Gammaproteobacteria bacterium. RNAcentral's name for it is "tRNA-Arg". It matches the Rfam family "tRNA". Rfam says of the family: Transfer RNA (tRNA) molecules are approximately 80 nucleotides in length. Their secondary structure includes four short double-helical elements and three loops (D, anti-codon, and T loops). Lineage: Bacteria; Pseudomonadati; Pseudomonadota; Gammaproteobacteria. The record is from RNAcentral.